AGCGAACGCUGGCGGCAGGCUUAACACAUGCAAGUCGAGCGGGCCCUUCGGGGUCAGCGGCAGACGGGUGAGUAACACGUGGGAACGUACCCUUUGGUUCGGAAUAACUCUGGGAAACUAGCGCUAAUACCGGAUACGCCCUUUUGGGGAAAGGCUUGCUGCCGAAGGAUCGGCCCGCGUCUGAUUAGCUAGUUGGUAGGGUAAUGGCCUACCAAGGCGACGAUCAGUAGCUGGUCUGAGAGGAUGAUCAGCCACACUGGGACUGAGACACGGCCCAGACUCCUACGGGAGGCGGCAGUGGGGAAUAUUGGACAGUGGGCGCAAGCCUGAUCCAGCCAUGCCGCGUGAGUGAUGAAGGCCUUAGAGUUGUAAAGCUCUUGUGUCCGGGACGAUAAUGACGGUACCGGAAGAAUAAGCCCCGGCUAACUUCGUG
Molecule: ribosomal RNA, 433 nt
Filed under: uncultured bacterium
Lineage: Bacteria
Description: partial 16S ribosomal RNA
Rfam family: Bacterial small subunit ribosomal RNA
Source: RNAcentral